UUCUUGUUGAAUAGAGACACUAUGGUUAUGUAGCAAAACCACUCCGAACUCCAAAGAUAACACAUAUGUCAGGACCAGGACUUGUCCUGAGCACAGCAAAUGUUUUCAUUUGCUGUGGCCCAAAAUUUAAGUGGCUUAUUUUGAAAUAAAAGUUUUUAUAUGUAUAAGUCAUAUAAAGAGUUUCACGAGAAAGAAACAUAAAUA
This 204-nucleotide small RNA is filed under the name Arabidopsis thaliana (thale cress). RNAcentral describes it as "ATSL098580". Lineage: Eukaryota; Viridiplantae; Streptophyta; Magnoliopsida; Brassicales; Brassicaceae. The record is from RNAcentral.